This 254-nucleotide ribosomal RNA is filed under the name uncultured bacterium. RNAcentral's name for it is "partial 16S ribosomal RNA". It matches the Rfam family "Bacterial small subunit ribosomal RNA", at positions 524 to 776 of the family's 1533-position model. The record is from RNAcentral.
UACGUAGGGAGCAAGCGUUUGUCCGGAAUCAUUGGGCGUAAAGAGCGCGUAGGCGGCCCUGUAAGUCCGCUGUGAAAGUCAAGGGCUCAACCCUUGAAUGCCGGUGGAUACUGCAGGGCUAGAGUCCGGAAGAGGCGAGUGGAAUUCCUGGUGUAGCGGUGAAAUGCGCAGAUAUCAGGAGGAACACCGAUGGCGAAGGCAGGUCUCUGGGCAUUAACUGACGCUGAGGAGCGAAAGCAUGGGGAGCGAACAGG